GGCUUUGCACAGUGGCAGUAUUGUAGCCAAUGAGGUUUAUCCGAGGCAUAAUUAUUGCUAUUGAAAACUUUUCCCUAUAUCCCACCAUGAGGACUUGAAAUAUAGUUGGCAUUGGCAAUUUUUGACAGUCUCUACGGAGA
Molecule: small nuclear RNA, 140 nt
Organism: Saimiri boliviensis boliviensis (Bolivian squirrel monkey)
Lineage: Eukaryota; Metazoa; Chordata; Mammalia; Primates; Cebidae
Gene: U4
Rfam family: U4 spliceosomal RNA
About the family: U4 small nuclear RNA (U4 snRNA) is a component of the major U2-dependent spliceosome. The structure of U4 snRNA from yeast and human has been reported.
Source: Ensembl